AGUGAACGCUGGCGGUAGGCCUAACACAUGCAAGUCGAACGGCAGCACAGUAAGAGCUUGCUCUUACGGGUGGCGAGUGGCGGACGGGUGAGGAAUACAUCGGAAUCUACUUUUUCGUGGGGGAUAACGUAGGGAAACUUACGCUAAUACCGCAUACGACCUACGGGUGAAAGCAGGGGAUCUUCGGACCUUGCGCGAUUGAAUGAGCCGAUGUCGGAUUAGCUAGUUGGCGGGGUAAAGGCCCACCAAGGCGACGAUCCGUAGCUGGUCUGAGAGGAUGAUCAGCCACACUGGAACUGAGACACGGUCAAGACUCCUACGGGAGGCAGCAGUGGGGGAUAUUGGACAAUGGGCGCAAGCCUGAUCCAGCCAUACCGCGUGGGUGAAGAAGGCCUUCGGGUUGUAAAGCCCUUUUGUUGGGAAAGAAAAGCAGCAGGUUAAUACCCCGCUGUUCUGACGGUACCCAAAGAAUAAGCACCGGCUAACUUCGUG
Molecule: ribosomal RNA, 492 nt
Filed under: uncultured bacterium
Lineage: Bacteria
Description: partial 16S ribosomal RNA
Rfam family: Bacterial small subunit ribosomal RNA
Source: RNAcentral